GGCAGCAUGGUCUUAGCUUGCUAAGGCUGAUGGCGACCGGCGCACGGGUGAGUAACACGUAUCCAACCUGCCGUCUACUCUUGGCCAGCCUUCUGAAAGGAAGAUUAAUCCAGGAUGGGAUCGUGAGUUCACAUGUCCGCAUGAUUAAAGGUAUUUUCCGGUAGACGAUGGGGAUGCGUUCCAUUAGAUAGUAGGCGGGGUAACGGCCCACCUAGUCAACGAUGGAUAGGGGUUCUGAGAGGAAGGUCCCCCACAUUGGAACUGAGACACGGUCCAAACUCCUACGGGAGGCAGCAGUGAGGAAUAUUGGUCAAUGGGCGAUGGCCUGAACCAGCCAAGUAGCGUGAAGGAUGACUGCCCUAUGGGUUGUAAACUUCUUUUAUAAAGGAAUAAAGUCGGGUAUGCAUACCCGUUUGCAUGUACUUUAUGAAUAGGGAUCGGCUAACUCCGUGCCAGCAGCCGCGGUAAUACGGAGGAUCCGAGCGUUAUCCGGAUUUAUUGGGUUUAAAGGGAGCGUAGAUGGAUGUUUAAGUCAGUUGUGAAAGUUUGCGGCUCAACCGUAAAAUUGCAGUUGAUACUGGAUGUCUUGAGUGCAGUUGAGGCAGGCGGAAUUCGUGGUGUAGCGGUGAAAUGCUUAGAUAUCACGAAGAACUCCGAUUGCGAAGGCAGCCUGCU
RNAcentral lists this ribosomal RNA (675 nucleotides) under uncultured Bacteroidales bacterium. Its description in RNAcentral is "bacterial SSU rRNA". It matches the Rfam family "Bacterial small subunit ribosomal RNA", at positions 68 to 730 of the family's 1533-position model. The record is from RNAcentral. Lineage: Bacteria; Pseudomonadati; Bacteroidota; Bacteroidia; Bacteroidales.